UGGGUAGGUGGAGAUCAGGACAAAGCAAAGGCAUGGAGAGAAAGGCAAGGACGUUUCAAGAUAUGGAGAGCAACCACCUUUACCCUUACCUUGAGGACCUGAGAAAAGAUGCAGAUGAAAGUCUCUUCACUGUUUGGUGUCUGAACAGGAGAGCACCAGCUGCACUGGAGGAAAAACUCCUUUGUCACAUGGCCAGUAUCCAGAGGGACUUGGACAAGCUUGAGAAGUAGGCCCAGGUGAACCUAAUGAGGUUCAACAAGGUCAAGAGCAAGGUGCUGCACCUGGGUUGGGGCAAUCCCAGACACGAGCACAGACUGGGAGAACUCAUGGAGAGCAGCCCUGCAGAGGACUUGGGGCUUCUCGUGGACAAAAAGCUUGACAUGAUCCAGCAGUGAAUGCUUGCAGUCCAGAAGGCCAACUACAUCCUGGGCUGUAUCAACAGAGGGAUACCUGCAGACUUUUCCUGAACAUGUCAAAACACUGCAGGCACCACAUUACAGUAUGUGUACUACAAUUAAAAAUACCUCCCAG
Molecule: long non-coding RNA, 531 nt
Filed under: Anas platyrhynchos (mallard)
Lineage: Eukaryota; Metazoa; Chordata; Aves; Anseriformes; Anatidae
Description: lncRNA (ENSAPLG00020006628.1)
Source: RNAcentral